GUAGCAAUACUGAGUGGCAGACGGGUGAGUAACAUGUGGGAAUCUGCCUUGUGGUUCAGGACAACAUUGGGAAACCGAUGCUAAUACUGGAUAAGCCCUUACGGGGAAAGUUUUAAUGCCAUAAGAUGAGCCCGCAUUUGAUUAGUUAGUUGGUGAGGUAAUGGCUCACCAAGACAAUGAUCAAUAGCUGAUCUGAGAGGAUGAUCAGCCACACUGGGACUGAGACACGGCCCAGACUCCUACGGGAGGCAGCAGUGGGGAAUCUUGCACAAUGGAGGAAACUCUGAUGCAGCGAUGCCGCGUGAGUGAAGAAGGCCUUUGGGUUGUAAAGCUCUUUUGUAGGGGAAGAUAAUGACUGUACCCUAAGAAUAAGGUCCGGCUAACUUCGUGCCAGCAGCCGCGGUAAUACGAAGGGACCUAGCGUAGUUCGGAAUUACUGGGCGUAAAGCGCGCGUAGGCCGUUGAGUUAGUUAAUUGUGAAAUCCCAAAGCUUAACUUUGGAACUG
RNAcentral lists this ribosomal RNA (506 nucleotides) under uncultured Pelagibacterales bacterium. Its description in RNAcentral is "bacterial SSU rRNA". It matches the Rfam family "Bacterial small subunit ribosomal RNA", at positions 82 to 623 of the family's 1533-position model. The record is from RNAcentral. Lineage: Bacteria; Pseudomonadati; Pseudomonadota; Alphaproteobacteria; Candidatus Pelagibacterales.